ACGGAAGGCAGCAGUGGGGAAUAUUGGGCAAUGGGCGCAAGCCUGACCCAGCAAUGCCGCGUGAAGGAAGAAGGCUUUCGGGUUGUAAACUUCUUUUAAGUGGGACGAUAAUGACGGUACCACUUGAAUAAGCUCCGGCUAACUACGUGCCAGCAGCCGCGGUAGUACGUAGGGAGCAAGCGUUAUCCGGAUUUACUGGGUGUAAAGGGCGUGUAGGCGGGACAUCAAGUCAGAUGUGAAAGCACGGGGCUCAACUUCGUGUCUGCAUUUGAAACUGACGUUCUUGAGUGUUGGAGAGGCUAACGGAACUCCUAGUGUAGCGGUGAAAUGCGUAGAUAUUAGGAAGAACACCAGUGGCGAAGGCGGUUAGCUGGACAAUAACUGACGCUGAGGCGCGAAAGCGUGGGUAGCAAACAGGAUUAGAUACCCUGGUA
Molecule: ribosomal RNA, 434 nt
Filed under: uncultured Pseudoflavonifractor sp.
Lineage: Bacteria; Bacillati; Bacillota; Clostridia; Eubacteriales; Oscillospiraceae
Description: partial 16S ribosomal RNA
Rfam family: Bacterial small subunit ribosomal RNA
Source: RNAcentral